UGCCCAGCAACUCCUAUCCCUACCUCCUCGACGUACUCGCCGGGGUACGAGUAACCUCAGGGAAGAUCGGGUAACCAACCCCGGUGGGAACUCUGGUCUGGCUGAUAGGGAAGG
This 114-nucleotide ribozyme is filed under the name Aedes aegypti (yellow fever mosquito). RNAcentral's name for it is "drz-agam-1 ribozyme". It matches the Rfam family "drz-agam-1 ribozyme". The record is from Rfam by way of RNAcentral. Lineage: Eukaryota; Metazoa; Arthropoda; Insecta; Diptera; Culicidae.